GCGGACGGGUGAGUAACACGUGGAUAACCUACCUAUAAGACUGGGAUAACUUCGGGAAACCGGAGCUAAUACCGGAUAAUAUUUUGAACCGCAUGGUUCAAAAGUGAAAGACGGUCUUGCUGUCACUUAUAGAUGGAUCCGCGCUGCAUUAGCUAGUUGGUAAGGUAACGGCUUACCAAGGCAACGAUGCAUAGCCGACCUGAGAGGGUGAUCGGCCACACUGGAACUGAGACACGGUCCAGACUCCUACGGGAGGCAGCAGUAGGGAAUCUUCCGCAAUGGGCGAAAGCCUGACGGAGCAACGCCGCGUGAGUGAUGAAGGUCUUCGGAUCGUAAAACUCUGUUAUUAGGGAAGAACAUAUGUGUAAGUAACUGUGCACAUCUUGACGGUACCUAAUCAGAAAGCCACGGCUAACUACGUGCCAGCAGCCGCGGUAAUACGUAGGUGGCAAGCGUUAUCCGGAAUUAUUGGGCGUAAAGCGCGCGUAGGCGGUUUUUUAAGUCUGAUGUGAAAGCCCACGGCUCAACCGUGGAGGGUCAUUGGAAACUGGAAAACUUGAGUGCAGAAGAGGAAAGUGGAAUUCCAUGUGUAGCGGUGAAAUGCGCAGAGAUAUGGAGGAACACCAGUGGCGAAGGCGACUUUCUGGUCUGUAACUGACGCUGAUGUGCGAAAGCGUGGGGAUCAAACAGGAUUAGAUACCCUGGUAGUCCACGCCGUAAACGAUGAGUGCUAAGUGUUAGGGGGUUUCCGCCCCUUAGUGCUGCAGCUAACGCAUUAAGCACUCCGCCUGGGGAGUACGACCGCAAGGUUGAAACUCAAAGGAAUUGACGGGGACCCGCACAAGCGGUGGAGCAUGUGGUUUAAUUCGAAGCAACGCGAAGAACCUUACCAAAUCUUGACAUCCUUUGACAACUCUAGAGAUAGAGCCUUCCCCUUCGGGGGACAAAGUGACAGGUGGUGCAUGGUUGUCGUCAGCUCGUGUCGUGAGAUGUUGGGUUAAGUCCCGCAACGAGCGCAACCCUUAAGCUUAGUUGCCAUCAUUAAGUUGGGCACUCUAAGUUGACUGCCGGUGACAAACCGGAGGAAGGUGGGGAUGACGUCAAAUCAUCAUGCCCCUUAUGAUUUGGGCUACACACGUGCUACAAUGGACAAUACAAAGGGCAGCGAAACCGCGAGGUCAAGCAAAUCCCAUAAAGUUGUUCUCAGUUCGGAUUGUAGUCUGCAACUCGACUACAUGAAGCUGGAAUCGCUAGUAAUCGUAGAUCAGCAUGCUACGGUGAAUACGUUCCCGGGUCUUGUACACACCGCCCGUCACACCACGAGAGUUUGUAACACCCGAAGCCGGUGGAGUAACCUUUUAGGAGCUAGCCGUCGAAGGUGGGACAAAUGAUUGGGGUGAAGUCGUAACAAGGUAGCCGUAUCGGAAGGUGCGGCUGGAUCACCUCCUUU
RNAcentral lists this ribosomal RNA (1450 nucleotides) under Staphylococcus aureus. RNAcentral describes it as "bacterial SSU rRNA". It matches the Rfam family "Bacterial small subunit ribosomal RNA". Lineage: Bacteria; Bacillati; Bacillota; Bacilli; Caryophanales; Staphylococcaceae. The record is from RNAcentral.